RNAcentral lists this transfer RNA (68 nucleotides) under Staurois latopalmatus (Sabah splash frog). RNAcentral's name for it is "tRNA-Glu". It matches the Rfam family "tRNA". Rfam says of the family: Transfer RNA (tRNA) molecules are approximately 80 nucleotides in length. Their secondary structure includes four short double-helical elements and three loops (D, anti-codon, and T loops). The record is from RNAcentral. Lineage: Eukaryota; Metazoa; Chordata; Amphibia; Anura; Ranidae.
GUUUCUGUAGUUGAGUACAACAUUAGCUUUUCAAGCUAUUAGCCUAGGUUAAAUUCCUAGCAGAAAUA